AUUGAACGCUGGCGGCAGGCCUAACACAUGCAAGUCGAGCGGAUGAAGGGAGCUUGCUCCUGGAUUCAGCGGCGGACGGGUGAGUAAUGCCUAGGAAUCUGCCUGGUAGUGGGGGAUAACGUCCGGAAACGGGCGCUAAUACCGCAUACGUCCUGAGGGAGAAAGUGGGGGAUCUUCGGACCUCACGCUAUCAGAUGAGCCUAGGUCGGAUUAGCUAGUUGGUGGGGUAAAGGCCUACCAAGGCGACGAUCCGUAACUGGUCUGAGAGGAUGAUCAGUCACACUGGAACUGGGACACGGUCCAGACCCCGACGGGAGGCAGCAGGGGGGAAUUUUGGAAAAUGGGCGAAAGCCUGAUCCAGCCAUGCCGGGGGUGUGAAGAAGGUCUUCGGAUUGUAAAGCACUUUAAGUUGGGGGGAAGGGCAGUAAGUUAAUCCCUUGCUGUUUUGACGUUACCAACAAAAUAAGCACCGGCAAACUUCGG
RNAcentral lists this ribosomal RNA (483 nucleotides) under uncultured bacterium. RNAcentral describes it as "partial 16S ribosomal RNA". It matches the Rfam family "Bacterial small subunit ribosomal RNA", at positions 30 to 506 of the family's 1533-position model. The record is from RNAcentral.